GACGGGGGGGGCAAGUGUUCUUCGGAAUGACUGGGCGUAAAGGGCACGUAGGCGGUGAAUCGGGUUGAAAGUGAAAGUCGCCAAAAAAGUGGCGGAAUGCUCUCGAAACCAAUUCACUUGAGUGAGACAGAGGAGAGUGGAAUUUCGUGUGUAGGGGUGAAAUCCGUAAAUAUACGAAGGAACGCCAAAAGCGAAGGCAGCUCUCUGGGUCCCUACCGACGCUGGGGUGCGAAAGCAUGGGGGAGCGAACAGG
This 253-nucleotide ribosomal RNA is filed under the name uncultured bacterium. RNAcentral describes it as "partial 16S ribosomal RNA". It matches the Rfam family "Bacterial small subunit ribosomal RNA", at positions 524 to 776 of the family's 1533-position model. The record is from RNAcentral.